Molecule: ribosomal RNA, 253 nt
Filed under: uncultured bacterium
Lineage: Bacteria
Description: partial 16S ribosomal RNA
Rfam family: Bacterial small subunit ribosomal RNA
Source: RNAcentral
GACGUAGGGCGCGAGCGUUGUCCGGAUUUAUUGGGCGUAAAGAGCUCGUAGGCGGCUUGUUGCGUCGACCGUGAAAACCCGGGGCUCAACUUCGGGCUUGCGGUCGAUACGGGCGGGCUAGAGUUCGGUAGGGGAGAGUGGAAUUCCCGGUGUAGCGGUGAAAUGCGCAGAUAUCGGGAAGAACACCCGUGGCGAAGGCGGCUCUCUGGGACGGUACUGACGCUGAGACGCGAAAGCGUGGGGAGCGAACAGG